This 586-nucleotide long non-coding RNA is filed under the name Phoenix dactylifera (date palm). RNAcentral describes it as "long non-coding RNA (PDAC_LNC014716)". Lineage: Eukaryota; Viridiplantae; Streptophyta; Magnoliopsida; Arecales; Arecaceae. The record is from RNAcentral.
UGAGAAAUAUUUAGCAUCUUUGUCCUACUUUGACUAAUUUCUCCUACCUCCACGUUUUUUGGGAAAAUAAUCAGUGAGCAGACUGUUUGGCUAGCAUUGCAAGCUUAAUGUGUGUCUCAACAUACAUGUGAUGGUGCACUAGUCUUGCCAGAAAAUGCGAUAUGUUAUAGCUGGUUCACUGUUAGGUUUAGAUGUCGUGGCAACAAUUAAUAAAAGAAGCUAUGAGGCAAUUAUGUUUGUUCUUUCAUGCAGGAUUAAAGAAGAUAUAUUUUCAACUAAAAGAAUGUAAAGAAAGGGGAAGAGGUUUGGUUUAUACAAAGGUUCGAUUAAGGCUAGGCUACCCCAAACCUGUACAUAUCCACACUGUAAUUAAUUUGGAACUUGAUUUAUCCAAAACGUGUUUGCUUGGGUGAGAUUUGGAUUAAGAAAAUCUUACGUUAUGCUGGCUUGAAGCCAUGAAGGCUUAUGCAACCAAAACCCAAACGGAGCCAACAAUCCCGUACAUAAUCCGUUUUUACUGCUUGCAACCCAACCUUGUUAAACCUAACAACCUAGACAUCAUCUGAGAUAUCUAUCUUGGUGCCUC